Long non-coding RNA from Brassica rapa (field mustard), 444 nucleotides. RefSeq lists it as uncharacterized. NCBI's taxonomy places the organism in Eukaryota, Viridiplantae, Streptophyta, Magnoliopsida, Brassicales, Brassicaceae. The record is from RefSeq and is a predicted model, not a curated record.
CUAUAAGAAUAUUCUAAUGAGAAUCUAAAUAGUUUGCAGGUUUAACAUGUCCUUUCUCUGCAACCUUAACACAUUGUUUCACUGAAUUAUAAUCAAAAGAACAAUGCGCACAUAAAAAGAAUGGUGAGUGAGUGAGACCAAUGUCAUACCAAAUGUUUUGCCUUUCUGGCUUGACCCUUUGGGCUUGUUUUCAGCUUCCUCUUCUGCUCACCAUUGCAUCCUCUCAUUUACUCUUCAUGGAAGCUUUGAAAGCGAUUUGGAAUGUGUUGCAUCCAUCAGUAGCAAACCUGGAUUGAAUUCCCCGUGGUCUUCUAUCGGAAUCAUCGUCCUUGUCGGAGCCUUCUUCCUCUUCGAUUUCCUUGUAGUUAGCAUCAGAGAACAGCUCAUCAUGAAUGGUUUAUCUUUGGUGACGGUUUCGAUUCAGCUUUUUCGUAAUCAUGAAAA